Molecule: ribosomal RNA, 776 nt
Filed under: uncultured Neocallimastigales
Lineage: Eukaryota; Fungi; Neocallimastigomycota; Neocallimastigomycetes; Neocallimastigales
Description: partial large subunit ribosomal RNA
Rfam family: Eukaryotic large subunit ribosomal RNA
Source: RNAcentral
GUAGUCUCGCACAGAUGCAUAUCAAUAAGCGGAGGAAAAGAAACUAACAAGGAUUCCCUUAGUAGCGGCGAGUGAAGCGGGAAGAGCUCAAAUUUGAAAUCUUCAAGGUUUUACCUUGACGAAUUGUAGUUUAAAGAAGUGUUUUCUGUUGAAGUUUUGGUAAAAGUUCUUUGGAAUAGGACAUCAUAGAGGGUGAGAAUCCCGUAUUUGACCAUUAUUUUCAGCUGUGUGAUACACUUUCAAAGAGUCGGAUUGUUUGGGAAUGCAGUCCAAAAUGGGUGGUAAAUUUCAUCUAAAGCUAAAUAUUGGCGAGAGACCGAUAGCGAACAAGUACCGUGAGGGAAAGAUGAAAAGAACUUUGAAAAGAGAGUUAAACAGUACGUGAAAUUGUCAAAAGGGAAGCGUUCGACACCAGGUGUUGUUUUUCUGAAAAUCAAUUAAAGAACUGUUUAUGCUAAGCUGUUUAGACUUUAUCAGCUAAUCUGUUUAGUUUUGAGCUUUUCUUUAAUGCACUUUUCAGUUAACAAGUCAACAUCAAUUUCUUUUGCUGUAAAAAAGCUUGAGGAAGGUGGCUUGAGAUUCGUCUUAAGUGUUUAUAGCCUCUUGCCUAUGCAGUCGGAGAGAUUGAGGUCUGCAGCGUAGAUCCUUCAGGGCUAAAUGCAUUUGUGCUAAGUUAUAGCAUUUUAUAGACAACUUGUUGACUAUGAUUUGUCUUGUAGCUUACUCGCUUAUGUUAUUUUACCUACGCUUAGGAUGUUGAGCGCAUGUCUCUCUCU